GAUGAACGCUAGCGACAGGCUUAACACAUGCAAGUCGAGGGGCAGCGGGGGUGAUGGCUUGCCAUCACCUGCCGGCGACCGGCGCACGGGUGAGUAACACGUAUGCAACCUGCCCGCCACAGGGGGAUAAGCGGAAGAAAUUCCGUCUAAUACCGCGUGACGCGGCGUCGGGGCAUCCCGGUGCCGCCAAAGGGAUUACCGGUGGCGGAUGGGCAUGCGGCGCAUUAGCUAGUCGGCGGGGUAACGGCCCACCGAGGCGACGAUGCGUAGGGGUUCUGAGAGGAAGGUCCCCCACACUGGUACUGAGACACGGACCAGACUCCUACGGGAGGCAGCAGUGAGGAAUAUUGGUCAAUGGGCGGGAGCCUGAACCAGCCAAGUCGCGUGAGGGAUGACGGUCCUACGGAUUGUAAACCUCUUUUGCCGGGGAGCAAGCGUGCGUUCGUGAACGCGCGUCCAGAGUACCCGGAGAAAAAGCAUCGGCUAACUCCGUGCCAGCAGCCGCGGUAAUACAGAGGAUGCCAGCGUUAUCCGGAUUUAUUGGGUUUUAAAGGGUGGGUAGGCGGGAUGCCAAGUCAACCGUAAAAAAGGGGUGGUCAACGGCCUCCGAGCCGUUGAAACUGGCUUUUUGAGUGGGCGAAAAGUAUGCGGAAUGCGUGGUGUAGCGGUGAAAUGCAUGGAUAUCACGCAGAACUCCGAUUGCGAAGGCAGCAUACCGGCGCCCUACUGACGCUGAGGCACGAAAGCGUGGGUAUCGAACAGGAUUAGAUACCCUGGUAGUCCACGCAGUAAACGGUGAAUGCUAACUGUCCGGUGCGAGUGAGCACUGGGCGGUACAGCGAAAGCGUUAAGCAUUCCACCUGGGGAGUACGCCGGCAACGGUGAAACUCAAAGGAAUUGACGGGGGCCCGCACAAGCGGAGGAACAUGUGGUUUAAUUCGAUGAUACGCGAGGAACCUUACCCGGGCUCAAACGCAGGAUGACGGGUCCCGAAAGGGGCCUUUCUUCGGACAUUCUGCGAGGUGCUGCAUGGUUGUCGUCAGCUCGUGCCGUGAGGUGUCGGCUUAAGUGCCAUAACGAGCGCAACCCCUGUCCACAGUUGCCAGCAGGUAAAGCUGGGGACUCUGUGGAGACUGCCGGCGCAAGCUGCGAGGAAGGCGGGGAUGACGUCAAAUCAGCACGGCCCUUACGUCCGGGGCGACACACGUGUUACAAUGGCAGGUACAGCGGGAUGCCACGGGGCGACCCGGCGCUGAACCCGAAAACCUGUCUCAGUUCGGAUUGGAGUCUGCAACCCGACUCCAUGAAGCUGGAUUCGCUAGUAAUCGCGCAUCAGCCACGGCGCGGUGAAUACGUUCCCGGGCCU
This 1366-nucleotide ribosomal RNA is filed under the name uncultured bacterium. RNAcentral describes it as "bacterial SSU rRNA". It matches the Rfam family "Bacterial small subunit ribosomal RNA", at positions 28 to 1381 of the family's 1533-position model. The record is from RNAcentral.